RNAcentral lists this unclassified non-coding RNA (337 nucleotides) under soil metagenome. RNAcentral describes it as "partial contains 5.8S ribosomal RNA, internal transcribed spacer 2, and large subunit ribosomal RNA". The stretch from base 1 to 120 matches the Rfam family "5.8S ribosomal RNA", at positions 35 to 154 of the family's 154-position model. The record is from RNAcentral.
GAUGAAGAACGUAGCGAAAUGCGAUAAGUAAUGCGAAUUGCAGAUUUCAGUGAGUCAUCGAAUCUUUGAACGCACAUUGCGCCCGCCAGUAUUCUGGCGGGCAUGCCUGUUCGAGCGUCAUUUCAACCAUCAAGCCCCCGGGCUUGCGUUGGGGCCCUGCGGCUGCCGCAGGCCCCGAAAAGCAGUGGCGGGCUCGCUGUCACACCGAGCGCAGUAGCGAUUCUCGCUCCGGGCGUCGGCGGCGGGCACCGGCCGUGAGACCCCCCCACAUCCACAAGGUUGACCUCGGAUCAGGUAGGAAUACCCGCUGAACUUAAGCAUAUUAAUAAGCGGAGGA